RNAcentral lists this ribosomal RNA (253 nucleotides) under uncultured bacterium. RNAcentral describes it as "partial 16S ribosomal RNA". It matches the Rfam family "Bacterial small subunit ribosomal RNA", at positions 524 to 776 of the family's 1533-position model. The record is from RNAcentral.
UACGAGGGGGGCGAGCGUUGUUCGGAAUUAUUGGGCGUAAAGGGUGCGUAGGCGGUUUGGUAAGUCUCGUGUGAAAUCUAUAGGCUCAACUUGUAGUCUGCACGAGAAACUGCCGGGCUUGAGUGUGGGAGAGGUGAGUGGAAUUCCUGGUGUAGCGGUGAAAUGCGUAGAUAUCAGGAGGAACACCUGUGGCGAAAGCGGCUCACUGGACCAUAACUGACGCUGAGACGCGAAAGCGUGGGGAGCGAACGGA